RNAcentral lists this ribosomal RNA (494 nucleotides) under uncultured bacterium. Its description in RNAcentral is "partial 16S ribosomal RNA". It matches the Rfam family "Bacterial small subunit ribosomal RNA", at positions 28 to 507 of the family's 1533-position model. The record is from RNAcentral.
GACGAACGCUGGCGGCGUGCUUAACACAUGCAAGUCGAACGGUGAAGCGCCUUCUUUUUUGGUGGGUGUGGAUGAGUGGCGAACGGGUGAGUAACACGAGCGUAACCUGCCCCCUUCUUCUGGAUAACCGCAUGAAAGUGUGGCUAAUACGGGAUAUUCUGGGUCUGUCGCAUGAUGGGUCUGGGAAAGCUAUUGUUUCGGUGGGGGAUGGGCUCGCGGCCUAUCAGCUUGUUGGUGGAGUGAGGGGCUACCACGGCGGUGACGGGUGGCCGGCCUGGGAGGGUGGACGGUCACAGUGGGACUGAGCCACGGGCCAGACUCCUGGGGGAGGCAGCAGCGGGGGGUAGUGGACGGUGGGCGCGAGCCUGAUGCAGCGGCGCGGCGCGGGGGAUGGAGGCCUGCGGGUUGUGAACCUCUUUCGCCAGUGAAGCAGGCCUGCCUCGUUUGUGGGUGGGUUGACGGUAGCUGGAGAAGAAGCGCCGGCUAACUACGUG